Molecule: long non-coding RNA, 1254 nt
Filed under: Homo sapiens (human)
Lineage: Eukaryota; Metazoa; Chordata; Mammalia; Primates; Hominidae
Description: HSALNT0015740
Source: RNAcentral
GGGGAAUAAUAACUUGGGGCCUGCUACCUGGUCCCUACCAUCGUGGGGUGAGUGGAACUUGGAGGAGUAAACAUUCGAAUCCCAUUGGGAGAGUGGCUUAAUGCAAACUGGUUUUUUUCUUUACGAGGAGGCCCAGAGAAACAUCUAUCGUCUAUUAAACACAGCUUUUGGUCUCGUGCACCUGACUGCUCACAGCUCUCGUCUGCCCCUUGUCCUUGGGUGGGAGCCUGGGCCUGCGACCUGAGCCACCUGUCAACUUCCCUUACCUGCAUUAUGAUGUAAGUCUCGGUGCUCUUGUUCUGACUGCGGCAGGCUACAGGGCCUCCUCAUGCUCCCAGUCAGUCGCUGUCUGUACUGGCUCUGUUCCUGAGGCCCGAGCUUGAACUCAGCUGUGAUGUGGCCUCUCAGAUCACACUGUCCUAUGCUUGUCCAGCCUGGGGUCAAACAUACCCCUGAUUCAUCCCCUGGGUCUCUCUGGUGUUAACAUUCUGCCUCCACACAUUCUUUUCCAGGCCCGAGGCCAAGUGCCCCUCUUGGUGUCUUCUUACAGGCCAUUCUGCCCUUCCACUGCAGUGCCAUCCUGGCUACAGCCCUGGACACAGUCACUGUUCCUUAUCGCCUGUGUUCCUCUCCAGUUUCCAUGGUUCAUCUGGCUGACAUGCUGAGCUUCUGUGGGAAAAAGUGGUGACAGCAGGAGCAAUCAUCCCUUUCCCCUUGGCUCCAGGCCAGUCCCUUCCUGAUUCCCUGAUGCAGUUUGGAGGAGCCACCCCAUGGACCCCACUGUCUGCAUGUGGGGAGCCUUCUGGAACACGUUGCUUUGCCCAGUCAGUGGUGCUGAGGGUAUAGACAGAGCAUGCCACACAAGUGGAGAGCAUCCCAGUGUUUGGGGCACUGUGUUCCUCUUCGUCCCUGCACCAGACCCUGGAAGCCUUGGCCAGAGACCUCACCAAACUCGACUUGCGGCGCUGGGCCAGCUUCAUGGAUGCUGGAGUGGAGCACGAUGACGUAGCAGAGCUGCUGCAGGAGCUACAAAGCCUGGCCCAGUGCUACCAGGGUGGUGACAGCCUCGUGGACUAAAGUUCCCAGUGUGGGAGAAAGGAGCUAGUUUGCAAUAAAAACAGCUGGAUGCAGGAGCCCAGUGUCUUCAUGCAGAGGAGCUCAAUGUCGCGGGACUAGCUACACCAACAUAUGCACUUUUUACAUUUAGAAACACUGUGAUUAGACCACAGAACAAUAAAUAUGUGCCAUCAGACC